UUUGGUAUCAGAUGAUCUUGCCUCCCCAUUUUGAUAAAUCCAAGAAAUAUCCUCUACUAUUAGAUGUGUAUGCAGGCCCGUGUAGUCAAAAAGCAGACACUGUCUUCAGACUGAACUGGGCCACUUACCUUGCAAGCACAGAAAACAUUAUAGUAGCUAGCUUUGAUGGCAGAGGAAGUGGUUACCAAGGAGAUAAGAUCAUGCAUGCAAUCAACAGAAGACUGGGAACAUUUGAAGUUGAAGAUCAAAUUGAAGCAGCCAGACAAUUUUCAAAAAUGGGAUUUGUGGACAACAAACGAAUUGCAAUUUGGGGCUGGUCAUAUGGAGGGUACGUAACCUCAAUGGUCCUGGGAUCGGGAAGCGGCGUGUUCAAGUGUGGAAUAGCCGUGGCGCCUGUAUCCCGGUGGGAGUACUAUGACUCAGUGUACACAGAACGUUACAUGGGUCUCCCAACUCCAGAAGACAACCUUGACCAUUACAGGGUAAGAGAUGUGGACCUAUACCUAUUUUAUAACCUAUUUAUAAGUGGUUUAAGAACCUUCUUAAUUGUAUCUAUUCUAGAAAAUAUAUAUUUUUAUUUCC
This 582-nucleotide small RNA is filed under the name Pongo abelii (Sumatran orangutan). Its description in RNAcentral is "retained intron". The record is from RNAcentral. Lineage: Eukaryota; Metazoa; Chordata; Mammalia; Primates; Hominidae.